UCGGGAAUUUUGUGCAAUGGGCGAAAGCCUGACACAGCAACGCCGCGUGAAGGAUGAAGUCCCUCGGGAUGUAAACUUCGUAAGAAUAGGAAGAAUAAAUGACGGUACUAUUUGUAAGGUCCGGCUAACUACGUGCCAGCAGCCGCGGUAAUACGUAGGGACCAAGCGUUGUUCGGAUUUACUGGGCGUAAAGGGUGCGUAGGCGGCAUAUCAAGUCACUUGUGAAAUCUCCGGGCUUAACUCGGAACUGCCAAGUGAUACUGAUGUGCUAGAGUGCAGAAAGGGCAACUGGAAUUCUUGGUGUAGCGGUGAAAUGCGUAGAUAUCAAGAGGAACACCUGAGGUGAAGACGGGUUGCUGGGCUGACACUGACGCUGAGGCGCGAAAGCCAGGGGAGCAAACGGGAUUAGAUACCCAUGUAGUCCCUGAGCGGGCUGGCAAGGCGCAU
This 447-nucleotide ribosomal RNA is filed under the name uncultured bacterium. RNAcentral's name for it is "bacterial SSU rRNA". It matches the Rfam family "Bacterial small subunit ribosomal RNA", at positions 355 to 825 of the family's 1533-position model. The record is from RNAcentral.